UUCCUGGUGAUACAGUGGCUAGGACUUUGUGCUAUCACUACUGAGAGCCCAGGUUUGAUUCCUGGUCAUGGAACUA
Molecule: transfer RNA, 76 nt
Filed under: Cervus elaphus hippelaphus
Lineage: Eukaryota; Metazoa; Chordata; Mammalia; Artiodactyla; Cervidae
Description: tRNA-Glu
Source: RNAcentral